This 497-nucleotide ribosomal RNA is filed under the name uncultured bacterium. RNAcentral's name for it is "partial 16S ribosomal RNA". It matches the Rfam family "Bacterial small subunit ribosomal RNA", at positions 28 to 507 of the family's 1533-position model. The record is from RNAcentral.
GAUGAACGCUGGCGGCGUGCCUAAUACAUGCAAGUCGAGCGAACAGACGAGGAGCUUGCUCCUCUGACGUUAGCGGCGGACGGGUGAGUAACACGUGGAUAACCUACCUAUAAGACUGGGAUAACUUCGGGAAACCGGAGCUAAUACCGGAUAAUAUGUUGAACCGCAUGGUUCAAUAGUGAAAGACGGCUUUGCUGUCACUUAUAGAUGGAUCCGCGCCGCAUUAGCUAGUUGGUAAGGUAACAGCUUACCAAGGCAACGAUGCGUAGCCGACCUGAGAGGGUGAUCGGCCACACUGGAACUGAGACACGGUCCAGACUCCUACGGGAGGCAGCAGUAGGGAAUCUUCCGCAAUGGGCGAAAGCCUGACGGAGCAACGCCGCGUGAGUGAUGAAGGUCUUCGGAUCGUAAAACUCUGUUAUUAGGGAAGAACAAAUGUGUAAGUAACUAUGCACGUCUUGACGGUACCUAAUCAGAAAGCCACGGCUAACUACGUG